UGGGGAAUAUUGGACAAUGGGCGAAAGCCUGAUCCAGCCAUGCCGCGUGUGUGAAGAAGGUCUUCGGAUCGUAAAGCACUUUAAGUUGGGCGGAAGGGCAGUAAGCGAAUACCUUGCUGUUUUGACGUUACCGACAGAAUAAGCACCGGCUAACUCUGUGCCAGCAGCCGCGGUAAUACAGAGGGUGCAAGCGUUAAUCGGAAUUACUGGGCGUAAAGCGCGCGUAGGUGGUUCGUUAAGUUGAAUGUGAAAGCCCCGGGCUCAACCUGGGAACUGCAUCCAAAACUGGCGGGCUAGAGUAGGGCAGGGGGUGGUGGAAUUUCCUGUGUAGCGGUGAAAUGCGUAGAUAUAGGAAGGAACACCAGUAGCGAAGGCGACCACCUGGGCUCAUACUGACACUGAGGUGCGAAAGCGUGGGGGGCAAACAGG
This 429-nucleotide ribosomal RNA is filed under the name Pseudomonadota bacterium. Its description in RNAcentral is "Proteobacteria bacterium partial 16S ribosomal RNA". It matches the Rfam family "Bacterial small subunit ribosomal RNA", at positions 355 to 776 of the family's 1533-position model. Lineage: Bacteria; Pseudomonadati; Pseudomonadota. The record is from RNAcentral.